GGAUUAUGCUUUGGGAAAGUUUCUUUUGGGGGGGAUAACCAUUGGAAAGACUGGUAAUACCGCAUGAGAUCGAGAGAUGAAAGCAGGGGACCGCAAGGCUUGCGCGGAGAGGAGCGGCCGAUGCCGGAUUAGCUAGUUGGUGGGGUAAAAGCCUACCAAGGCGACGAUCCGUAGCUGGUCUGAGAGGACGACCAGCCACACUGGGACUGAGACACGGCCCAGACUCCUACGGGAGGCAGCAGUGGGGAAUUUUGGACAAUGGGGGCAACCCUGAUCCAGCCAUGCCGCGUGUGUGAAGAAGGCCUUCGGGUUGUAAAGCACUUUCGGACGGAACGAAAUCGCGCGAUCUAAUAAGUCGCGUGGAUGACGGUACCGUAAGAAGAAGCACCGGC
RNAcentral lists this ribosomal RNA (392 nucleotides) under uncultured soil bacterium. Its description in RNAcentral is "bacterial SSU rRNA". It matches the Rfam family "Bacterial small subunit ribosomal RNA", at positions 108 to 497 of the family's 1533-position model. The record is from RNAcentral.